UUUAAAGUCUAAUCUGCCCNCUGAUGAAAAUUAAAGGGCUGCAGUAUUUUGACUGUACAAAGGUAGCAUAAUCAUUAGUUUUUUAAUUGAAAACUUGUAUGAAAGAUUUAAUGAAAUAUAUACUGUCUCAAAUUUAUUAUUAAAAAUUUAUUUUUUAGUUAAAAAGCUAAAAUAUUUUUAAAAGACGAGAAGACCCUAUAGAGUUUUAUAUUUAUUUUUAUUAAAAAGUUAUAUAAAAAUUAAUAUUAAAAUAAAAUAAAAUAUUAUAUUGGGGUGAUAGAAAAAUUAAAUUAACUUUUUUUAAUAAAUUAAUAUUAAUAAAUAAGUAAAUGAUCCAUAAAUAAUGAUUAAAAGAAAAAAUUACCUUAGGGAUAACAGCGUAAUUUUUUUUUUUAGUUCAAAUAAGAAAAAAAAGUUUGCGACCUCGAUGUUGGAUUAAGAUAAAAUUUAAAUGCAAAAGUUUAAAAUUUUGAUCUGUUCGAUCAUUAAAAUCUUACAUGAUCUGAGC
RNAcentral lists this ribosomal RNA (508 nucleotides) under Ypthima baldus A SG-2012. RNAcentral describes it as "partial 16S ribosomal RNA". The stretch from base 371 to 508 matches the Rfam family "Bacterial large subunit ribosomal RNA", at positions 2473 to 2610 of the family's 2925-position model. Lineage: Eukaryota; Metazoa; Arthropoda; Insecta; Lepidoptera; Nymphalidae. The record is from RNAcentral.